AACGAACGCUGGCGGCAUGCCUAACACAUGCAAGUCGAACGAGACCUUCGGGUCUAGUGGCGCACGGGUGCGUAACGCGUGGGAACCUGCCCUUAGGUUCGGCAUAACUCCCCGAAAGGGGUGCUAAUACCGGAUAAUGUCUUCGGACCAAGGAUUUAUCGCCUUUGGAUGGGCCCGCGUUGGAUUAGCUAGUUGGUAGGGUAAAAGCCUACCAAGGCGACGAUCCAUAGCUGGUCUGAGAGGAUGAUCAGCCACACUGGGACUGAGACACGGCCCAGACUCCUACGGGAGGCAGCAGUGGGGAAUAUUGGACAAUGGGCGAAAGCCUGAUCCAGCAAUGCCGCGUGAGUGAUGAAGGCCUUAGGGUUGUAAAGCUCUUUUACCCGGGAUGAUAAUGACAGUACCGGGAGAAUAAGCUCCGGCUAACUCCGUG
This 433-nucleotide ribosomal RNA is filed under the name uncultured bacterium. RNAcentral's name for it is "partial 16S ribosomal RNA". It matches the Rfam family "Bacterial small subunit ribosomal RNA", at positions 29 to 507 of the family's 1533-position model. The record is from RNAcentral.